RNAcentral lists this long non-coding RNA (7592 nucleotides) under Sus scrofa (pig). RNAcentral describes it as "lncRNA (ENSSSCG00000062157.1)". Lineage: Eukaryota; Metazoa; Chordata; Mammalia; Artiodactyla; Suidae. The record is from RNAcentral.
GGGGUUAGAAUGGACUGAAUCUCCUUAAAUGCAUGCAUUUCACAGCUGUGGUGCUAAGAGACAGAUUGCUUGGAAUGCCACAGGGAGGCUAAGCCAAACAAAAAGGAGCGCAUGAGGAAAUUUUUCUAGUGAAAAAUAUUUUUCCUUACCAACCUGAAAUAUUUUCCCUUUUAUGCUAUAUUCAUUUCUCCCCCCUUGUUGAAAUAGCGUGGCUUCCUCCACUGCCGAACGUGUUUUCCGCCUUUUGAUUUCGGCAACAAAUGAACAUUAAUUCCUUCACCUGAUGCACACAGUCAGUGCUACACAGGCUUAGAGGGCAAUGUUAAGAGAAGUUGAAAUGGAUGGAUUUUUCCAGGAGAUGAAAAUGGUAAAACUGCCAGGCUGAAAUUUAAAGAAAUUUUCCCCCCUUAUGAUUAAGGGGAAGGCAUCAAUAAGCAAAGCGAUUUUAAGGCAAUCCUGGAGUUCUCUGGGGACUGCAUUGUGUUUUCUCUCCCCAUCUGGGGGGGCUGAGAUCCACACUUGGCCCUUUAGUCAUUCUGGGACCAGGGACAAGUCACUUCUACUUGCAGGGGGGUGGGGGUGGCGCGGCUUGUUGGUCACCAGCACUGUCAACGAGAGUCCUAAUUGUAGUUGACAGGGCUUUUGAGAGGACAGAAGGGGACUGAGCGGAGAGGUUUUGGGAGCUGCUGAGAAGCCUGUAAGUGGAAGCUGCUGUUAUUGUUUGCCUUUGUCAGCAAAGCCUCAGGAGAACUUCCACCAGGGGCUGGAGAUGGGGAGGGAAGGAAGUGAAAGUAAAAUCAGGCAUUUUUGUUGCUAUUUAAAAGCCACCCUAGGAACAAGCCUUGCAGGGUAAAAAGUUGAAACUAAAUGAGGCUUUCAGUGUGUUCUGUGGGUUUUAGUGAUUCCAAUUAGCCCGCGGGCUCCCCUUUUGUCCCUCCCGGGUAGCAGCGGUGUUGGCAGGAGAUGAAAUGCCGCUGUGCACACAGACCCCACCUGGACGUUAGCCAGGGUCUCCCCCCACCCCCCCAUCACAGCGCCUGAGCCGCUUCCAUUUCUUUUUUUAAAUAUUCCUGGGAUGUUAAAAAGUGAAAUGCCAGAACAGAGUUACAAACAUGGUGGUGCAUUUUAAAAUGCUGAUGUUUUAAAAUUUGUCAUUUUAACCCAGGCAUUUAAACAGUGUGAUAUAAUGAUCUUGCUUUUCCAAAGAUUACACCAUGAACAAGUAACAUUUAUGUAGGGUACGCUGUCAAGAGUAGGGCCCAAGUUCAAGUAUGUGUGAUGGACGAGUCCUUCCAGGGGUAAGAGUGAAAAUGACUGCCUGGGUAUGCUUAUUUGGGAUGACGUCAAAGUCUGUAUUGGAGACGUUCUAAACUGGAAGGCUGGGCUAUAAAAGGCUCUCCUGCCUUCCUUCCCCCAGCUCCUCAGCCCCCAGCCCUACCCGGAGGCCUGACUCUUGGUAGAUCAUGAUGACUAUAGGGAGAAGUGGGGAGGGGAAAACGAAGACAUGUUGGAAGGGUCCAUUAUGGAUUCCUUACAAAUAUUUUUCAAGGGCCCCCUAUGACCAGAGAGGAUAACACAGAGCUGUGAUUAAGUUUAUAUUCAGGGUUUGAAUCUUGGCAGUUUUUUUCCCUACUGUGUUGUCGAAGCUCUCCAAGCCUCAGUUAUCUCAUCAGUUACCUCCUUUGUAAGGCACCUUGUUGGUUGUUGUGAGGGUUAAAUGACUUAUACACAUAAAGUGAUCACAACAGUGCCUGGCAGAGUGAACAGGCACUACAAAAGCUUUCACCCUCAGGGGGAUUAAUUCCAGCUCCUUACUGCAGUUUGCCCUCCAUUCUCUCCUGUGCAAGCGGGUCCAUCUGAAACAAACUGCCUUGCAAUAUCUAAAGAUAUUUAGUAAAACACAGGUAAAUGUUACUCCACCCGUGAGAAGAGUAAAAAAGCAUCAGCAAUACUAAGGAGCUCUGAAAAAUUCAUUAAUCAACCAUUCAGUAAGAAGCAAUGUGUUAGGCACUGUCUAGGGGCUGCUGAUAUUGUGGUUAACAACCCAGAUAUGGUUCCACACUAAUGGGUAGGAAAGAUAUUAGAUAUGUAAAUUAUUUUGUGUAAUAUAAACUUUUGUUGAAAUAUAAAGUGCAUACGGAAAGUGCACACAUAAUAACUGUACAGCUCAAUUACUUUUUAUAAAAUGAACACACACACAUAAUUCAUACCUAGAUCAAGAAUAUUAUUAAUACCUCCAGCUACCUCCCUGCACCAUCUCCCUCAUUCCCAAUUCCCACACCCCAGGAUUAAUAGUCUCGGUUCUAAAACCUCAGAUUACUUUUGCCUGUUUUUAAAUUUUAUGAAAAGGUAAUCACAACAUGUACUCUUUUGUGACUGGCUUUCCCUCCUCUAUAUAAUGUUUGUGAGUUUCAUCCUUUUUUGGUGAGUUGGAGUGUAUUCUCAUUCUUGCAUACCAUUCUACUGUAUGAAUGAAUACGCCAUGGUUUUUGAACCCACUCUACUAUUGAUGACAUGCUCAGUUUGGGAAUAUUACAAUAACACUGAAAUUUUUGUACACACUCUCUGUUGGAUACAUGCAUACAUUUCUGUUGGGUGUAUAUUGAGGAGGGGAAUAGUUGAGUAUAAACUAUGGGUAUAUGCUGUUUCAAUUGAUACCAUGAAGCAGUUUUCCAGAGUAGUCACAAUGUACCCUCUGGUGAAAAGAGUAUGACAUUUCUGGUUGUUCUCAAUUGUCUCUUUUCCAUUUUAGCCAUCUUGGAGGGUAUGUUGUGGCCUCUGCAGAUUAUGAUGUUCAUCUGCAUUUCCCCAAUGACUAAUGAAGUCAAAUGCCUUUUCAUAUGUUGAUUUUCUGUUUGGAUAUCUAUCUUCUCAUGUGAAUUAUCUUUUCUGACAUUUGUCCAUUUUCCUAUUGAGUUCUCUUCCUUUUUCUUAUUGAUUUGAAGGACUGCUUUAUGCAUUCCAGAUAAGGGUCCUUUGUCAGAUGUAAGUAUUUAUUGAAAUGCUCUUCUUCAGUCUGUGGCUUAUCUUUGUACUCUCUUAAUGGUUUUGAGAACUGUGGUUCUAAAUUUUAAUGUAGUCCAAUUGAUCAAUAUUUUUCCCCUAUGGUUAUUGCUGUCUGUGUCUUAAGAAAUCUUUGCCUGAGGCAGUUCUUGUGGAAGCAGCUAGUGCAAGCCUGGGAAAUUGUUAUGCACUGUGUUGCCUGGACUAGCAAACAAUGUGGUUGGGAUAGCAAAGCAAACCCCAAGAACCGAAAGGUGAGAUGUCUGCUCAUGCCAUCUUUGUGGAGAAAAAUCCAGAGAUCUGGUGAGUUUUGCAUUUUCCAAGUGCUCUGAGGUACGAGACAAUAUGUGAGAAAGAGAAAUACAAAUUUGGUGAAAUGGCAAAGUACACUUUGAUCAAGAAAUUAAGGAUUGGAGACAAGUUAAGGGAGGCAAGAUAAAAGAUCCCAAUAUCCCAAAUACCCUCAUAACACAUAGGACUUCUACUUAGACCUCUACCCAGGAUCAAAAACACAAACCUAGGCGUUUCUGUUGGAGAUAUGGCCAAAAAACUGGUAACAUAUUAUGGCAUGCAGAAUUGAUAAAAAAUACCCCACAAAGAUAUUCCAUUCUAAUUCCAGGGACCUCUAAAUGUAAUGAGACACCACUCAUUCAAGUGAUUGGUUCUAAGGCAGAGUUGGCCUUAAAAUAGGAGAUCAUCUGGGUGUGUGUGAUUUAAUCAAUGAAACCUUUCUAAACAGAGAACCUUCCCCAGUUGGUGGAAGAAUAAGUUACAGAAAUAUGGAGAAUGAGGGGGAUACAACUUGAAGUUGCAGGAAGCCAUGUGAAAGGCCCUCAGGCAACCUUAAAGAAUGAGAGAGAACCCUGGCCAAUAGCCAUCAAGAAAACAGGGUCCUCAGUCCUACACCCACAAGGAACUGAACUCUGUCAAUGGCCUGACUGAGCCUGGAAGUGACGUCUACUCAGGGCUUGCAGAUGAGGGACUCAGCUUGGCUGCUUUCAGCCUUAUGAUUCCCUGAGCAGAGGACUUGGUAACUCCAUGCUGGACUUCAGAGCUACAGGACUGUAAGCUAAUAAAAGGAGGCUGAUUUAAGCUACCCAGUUGGUAGUAAACUGUUACACAGCGAUGGAAAAAUAAAACAUGGGGAAUAAUUUGAGUGAUAGUGGAAAAUGCACCUUAUAAAAAGGCAACAGAGUUGAAAGAGAUGAAUGAGAAAGAUGUUGCCAACUAUGAUCCAAAAGAGAAAUGACAGAAAAAAAGGGCCCAUUUAGCAGUUUCUGGAAAGAGAAGAUGGAGGAGGAAAAUGAGGAGUAUGAGAAAGGGAUAAUACAAAUGAUCAGAAGGAGGAUAAUUAGUACAACUAUGUGCCUGCCUGUCUCCUUGUGAAUGCAUGUAGGAUAAAGGCAUUUAUUCACCCCCUUUCCGUUUGAGAAGGUAUUGGUUACUCUUUCUGAGUUUAAUUGCGCAACUGGAACAGGAUCUCAUUGUGGGUUUUGAAGUGCUGUAGGAACGCUUCCCAUGAAAUGUUUAUGGGUGGCCCAAGCAUCCAGAACUUCUAUCAAAAUUCACAUUUCCAAAUAAUUUUGAAAGAAAAACACUCUUUCUUGUCUUCACUCCUUGAACUCAGAGAGUCACGCAUGAGGGCAAGUACAAGAUUUCUGGAAUUUAAAACAAUGACUUGUAAUUUAUUUGUAAGGUGGUGUUAUCCGUUAGAAACCCCGAAUUAUCCACUGUAUAGAUCUACAGUUUGUAAAAAGAACAAAACAAGCUCGGCAAUCUCUGUGGUCCAAGCUCGGUAUUGCAAUGCUGUGGAAGGUGGCACCUUGUGGAGUGAGUUCAGGGAUGAGGCCAAGCCUUUUGGCCCUCCGUCAGGUUGUCUCGUUUUCUUAUAUAGCAACAUAACAAUUCUGGUGACAUUCUUAGCCAUGGCAAAGGGACAUCAGCUGGCAUGAGAAGUGUUCUGAUUAUUUUCAGUGAAACCUGAGAGUUUUCAAACAAAUUGUAGAACUCUUCAAUGCCAGGAAAGUAGAUGGCCACUCUUUCAAGGAAAGUGCAUGAGCCUUCUGACUUUAUGACUUUAACACACAAUUUGAAGUAUUCAGUGUUUUCUCUUUGUCUUUCUCCUUUCUUUCUUCUUUCUUUCUUAAUUCUUUUUUUUUUUUGUAUGUUUAGAAUCCUAUGACUUCCUUUUCAUGUAAAUGUUUUUAGUCUAACAUACUGCAGAAGAGUGCAUGUCUAGCCAGUGUGGAGCUCGAUGACACAGCGAACAUAGCUGGGUGACAAACACCCAGGAUGAGAUGCCAACCUCCCCUCCCCCCCCCCAGCCACCGCCUCCCCCCAGUUACAGCUGCCCCUCUCCUCCCCAGAUGACCUCCAUCCUCACUCCUAACACAUGAUUUGAUUUCUUUCAGAAUGCUGAAAUGUUUUGGAAGCAAAAGAGAGCAUCAUAUUUUUUAACUGGAGGAAAAAAACAUUAUUUUACCCCAAGGUCAGGAAGCUCUUUUCCUGUUUUCUGUCAAGUUUUAUUGCUUUUACCUUUUGCAAUCAGGCCUUUCUCCAUCUCAAUUUAAUUUUCAGUUUGGUAUGAGGCCAGAUGAUGGUCCCACGUUGGCCUGCGAGCCUGGUGUCUUCCCCCGGCCCCUCCCUUUGUCAGGUCCUGGACUCCGAGUUUCCUCUCCAGCAACUGCUGAAAACAGGCUUUCUGCUUCUGCUUUUUUAGCCUCUAGUCCUCAUAUACCCUCAAUUCAGGAACUGUCCUGAAGGGGAAUCCAGCUGUGUGCUUGAGCCCCGCCCCCCAGCCCCCUGGUCUCUAUUAUAAAUUCUCUAUCCCCAGAUUCUCAGCUUCUGCCAGGACCCAGGAUGAGCGAACAUUUCAGGGGAUGCAGAUGCUGGAGUUAGCCCAUCCCUCUGAGGGUCUGCUCACUCUCGUUCCAGCCCCGCAAUGGUUCUCCGCUGCCUUAAGACUGAUGCUUUCUGCAUUUAAUCAGACCUUUCUCAUUUGCUGGACGGAAAUGCUUGUCUGCUGCAAGUUAUUCCUUAUCACUUGCAACAAUAGAUACAUUUUUAAUUGUAAUUGUGGUAAAGUGAAAGAAAAAAAAAACAUACAGGGUGCAAUUCUAAGAGGGAAUAUUAAAAGUCUCUGGUUCAAAAAGUCUUCUUGUCUUCUGUAGAAGCCACUGUAGUUUACCAUUCGUGGCUCUGAGUCUUGAGCACAUGGACAGGGCAUUAGCAAGAAGGAACCAGUAGCUAAACAUCUAAUCGCACUUUCCCCAUCAGUCUCUUGUGAAACAGGUAAUUUCUCCUCUCUAGAUUCUAAUUUCCCUGAUCCUGGCAUUUCUUCACCUUAGUACAGGAUCCUAUGUUUUAAGUUCUUUAAACUCUUGGAACAAAGGGCAGCCUCUGAAAAGGAGGUGCCACAGGCAUUUCCUUAACCUAUUUUUUUUUCACUUUUUAACUUUUUAAUGAUUUUAAUUUUUUCCAUUAUAGCUGAUUUACAGUGUUCUGUCAAUUUUCUAUUGUACAGCAAAGUGACCCGGUCACACAUACAUAUACACAUUCUUUUUCUCACAUUAUCCUCAGUCAUGCUCCAUCACAAGUGACUAGAUAUAGUUCCCAGUGCUGCGAUACAGCAGGAUCUCAUUGCUUAUCCAUUCCAAAUGCAAUAGUCUGCAUCCAUUAACCCCAGAUUCCCAGUCCAUCCCACUCCCUCUCUCUCCUCCUUGGCAACCACAAGUCUCCUUAACCUAUUUUAAAAAGUGCAUGUAUGCUUAAAAAUCAAAAUAGUAGUUUUUGUUUUUUAAAGGUGGGGAGAAAGCAGAGGAAAUUCUCAGAAGGCCACAUACUGGCAAAAGCUGCUGAGACACGGUCCCUAGAGCAAGGAUGUUCUGAGGCAAAUGUCUCUCUGCCAUCACAUAGUUUCUUCUAUGGCUGCUUCCAGGUCUGCUCCAGCUGCUUGGAAAUGAGCACAGCUUCAUAGAAGUCAUUUGGAGGAAAUGAAAUUACAAGUCAUCAAUUAACGCUACCAUAGGAUUAAGGCCGAGCUUAUCCUAAUGACAUUUAGUGUCCUGGGAUGGAAGGGAGUUCAGGGUACUUUCCUUUCUCUCAUGUUUGAAUUUGCCACUGACAAUGCCUAGUGAUCAAGCAAGGAGUUCUGAAAAACAGAGCCAAGGGAUAGGAGAGGCUGGAGGCAGGCUGGAUAGUCACCGCUGGGAGAGGGCUGAUCCUUAAAUAAAAAGAAGGAAGAGCUUGUGUGCUACCUGACAGCUGGCUUCCAGCUGAUGAAACUCUAAUAGUGUAGGACAGGCAGGGACCUUAACAAAUCUGAGUGAUCACCCCUUUGGGAGGAAAAAAAUAAUGCAUGAAUAAUUAAUUGAAAUUUCCUUCUAAAGUAGGGUCAGAGGAAAAUGAAUGUUGUCUAGAGGGAAGCCAGCCCCAGAGAUAACCUCAGCUAAUAGAGGAUGUGAUGGCUCAGAAGGCAAACAAAAUAAAGUGUAGGAGAAGCACAAGGAAAACAAAUGAAGGGAAAUAGGGAGGGAAUAAAAACAGGGAGAGUUGGGAGGAAGCGGCUGCCUGGGAACAAGCCAGGCAAA